GGGGGUGAUUGGUAUCGACUUGAGAUGAACGAUCAUAGGUGGCAUGCCGAGGAAGCCUGGUUGGCCUCGUUAAUAAUCCGGGCAAAAAACAAAUGCAGACUACAACGUAGUGGCAGAAGCUGAGGCUAUUGUAGCCGAAGCAACACCAGUCUUUGCUUAAAAUUUAAGCAAAGCCCUCUUGUCAGCCUCGCCUGUGGGUUGAUAAGAGGCACUUAGCAGGCUAGCCAUAGUCAUGCCUUCGGGAUUAUGGCGAAAUCAAGAAGGAUAGUCUUGCCGGAUUUUGUCUGUUGAAGCUGGCAGGAUGAGAUUAAAAAACAGACUAAGCAUGUAGAGGCUUAUGUGAUGCAUCACAAGGACCCGGGUUCGACCCCCGGCACCUCCACUU
This 385-nucleotide transfer-messenger RNA is filed under the name Candidatus Omnitrophota. RNAcentral's name for it is "JAGLHE01 sp023143685 Standard tmRNA". It matches the Rfam family "transfer-messenger RNA". From Rfam's summary of the family: Bacterial tmRNA, also known as 10Sa RNA or SsrA, is named for its dual tRNA and mRNA-like properties. RNAcentral also lists the same sequence under 1 other name. Lineage: Bacteria; Pseudomonadati. The record is from RNAcentral.